GCUCUUUCGCAAGGGAAGAAACGUUACAGUCUAAUAAACUGUGAUAAUGACGGUACCUUGAUAAGAAGCACCGGCUAACUACGUGCCAGCAGCCGCGGUAAUACGUAGGGUGCGAGCGUUAAUCGGAAUUACUGGGCGUAAAGCGUGCGCAGGCGGUUUUGUAAGUCAGAUGUGAAAUCCCCGAGCUCAACUUGGGAACUGCGUUUGAAACUACAAGGCUAGAGUAUGGUAGAGGGGGGUAGAAUUCCACGUGUAGCAGUGAAAUGCGUAGAGAUGUGGAGGAAUACCAAUGGCGAAGGCAGCCCCCUGGACUAAUACUGACGCUCAUGCACGAAAGCGUGGGGAGCAAACAGGAUUAGAUACCCUGGUAGUCCACGCCCU
RNAcentral lists this ribosomal RNA (381 nucleotides) under uncultured beta proteobacterium. RNAcentral describes it as "bacterial SSU rRNA". It matches the Rfam family "Bacterial small subunit ribosomal RNA", at positions 430 to 803 of the family's 1533-position model. The record is from RNAcentral. Lineage: Bacteria; Pseudomonadati; Pseudomonadota; Betaproteobacteria.